UACGGAGGGGGCGAGCGUUAUUCGGAAUUAUUGGGCGUAAAGGGCGCGUAGGCGGCUUGAUGUGUCAAAGGUGAAAUCCCUCGGCUCAACUGAGGAACUGCCUUUGAAACUGUCUGGCUUGAGGCCGGGAGAGGGUAGCGGAAUUCCCAGUGUAGCGGUGAAAUGCGUAGAUACUGGGAGGAACACCGGUGGCGAAGGCGGCCCCCUGGACCGGUACUGACGCUGAGGCGCGAAAGCGUGGGUAGCAAACGGG
This 253-nucleotide ribosomal RNA is filed under the name uncultured bacterium. Its description in RNAcentral is "partial 16S ribosomal RNA". It matches the Rfam family "Bacterial small subunit ribosomal RNA", at positions 524 to 776 of the family's 1533-position model. The record is from RNAcentral.